UACGUAGGGUGCAAGCGUUGUCCGGAAUUAUUGGGCGUAAAGAGCUCGUAGGCGGUCUGUCGCGUCUGGUGUGAAAAUCCAGGGCUUAACCCUGGACCUGCAUCGGGUACGGGCAGACUAGAGUGCGGUAGGGGAGAUCGGAAUUCCUGGUGUAGCGGUGAAAUGCGCAGAUAUCAGGAGGAACACCGGUGGCGAAGGCGGAUCUCUGGGCCGUAACUGACGCUGAGGAGCGAAAGCAUGGGGAGC
Molecule: ribosomal RNA, 246 nt
Filed under: uncultured bacterium
Lineage: Bacteria
Description: partial 16S ribosomal RNA
Rfam family: Bacterial small subunit ribosomal RNA
Source: RNAcentral